AUUGAACGCUGGCGGCAUGCUUUACACAUGCAAGUCGAACGGUAACAGGGACUUCGGUCUGCUGACGAGUGGCGAACGGGUGAGUAACAUAUCGGAACGUGCCCAGUAAUGGGGGAUAGCUCGGCGAAAGCCGGAUUAAUACCGCAUACGCCCUGAGGGGGAAAGUGGGGGAUCUUCGGACCUCACGUUAUUGGAGCGGCCGAUAUCAGAUUAGCUAGUUGGUGGGGUAAAGGCCUACCAAGGCGACGAUCUGUAGCUGGUCUGAGAGGACGAUCAGCCACACUGGGACUGAGACACGGCCCAGACUCCUACGGGAGGCAGCAGUGGGGAAUAUUGGACAAUGGGCGAAAGCCUGAUCCAGCAAUGCCGCGUGUGUGAAGAAGGCCUGAGGGUUGUAAAGCACUUUCAAUCGUGAAGAAAGUUAGCAGGCUAAUACCCUGUGACCUUGACGUUAACGAUACAAGAAGACACCGGCUAACUACCGUGCCAGCAC
RNAcentral lists this ribosomal RNA (493 nucleotides) under uncultured bacterium. RNAcentral describes it as "bacterial SSU rRNA". It matches the Rfam family "Bacterial small subunit ribosomal RNA", at positions 30 to 514 of the family's 1533-position model. The record is from RNAcentral.